AACGAACGCUGGCGGCAUGCCUAACACAUGCAAGUCGAACGAGACCUUCGGGUCUAGUGGCGCACGGGUGCGUAACGCGUGGGAACCUGCCCUUAGGUUCGGAAUAACUCCCCGAAAGGGGUGCUAAUACCGGAUAAUGUCUUCGGACCAAAAAUUUAUCGCCUUUGGAUGGGCCCGCGUUGGAUUAGCUAGUUGGUAGGGUAAAAGCCUACCAAGGCGACGAUCCAUAGCUGGUCUGAGAGGAUGAUCAGCCACACUGGGACUGAGACACGGCCCAGACUCCUACGGGAGGCAGCAGUGGGGAAUAUUGGACAAUGGGCGAAAGCCUGAUCCAGCAAUGCCGCGGGAGUGAUGAAGGCCUUAGGGUUGUAAAGCUCUUUUACCCGGGAUGAUAAUGACAGUACCGGGAGAAUAAGCUCCGGCUAACUCCGG
RNAcentral lists this ribosomal RNA (432 nucleotides) under uncultured bacterium. RNAcentral's name for it is "partial 16S ribosomal RNA". It matches the Rfam family "Bacterial small subunit ribosomal RNA", at positions 29 to 506 of the family's 1533-position model. The record is from RNAcentral.